RNAcentral lists this transfer-messenger RNA (121 nucleotides) under Zetaproteobacteria bacterium CG_4_8_14_3_um_filter_59_5. RNAcentral's name for it is "partial transfer-messenger RNA". It matches the Rfam family "transfer-messenger RNA", at positions 1 to 126 of the family's 374-position model. From Rfam's summary of the family: Bacterial tmRNA, also known as 10Sa RNA or SsrA, is named for its dual tRNA and mRNA-like properties. The record is from RNAcentral. Lineage: Bacteria; Pseudomonadati; Pseudomonadota; Candidatius Mariprofundia.
GGGGGCGUCCCGGUUUCGACGGAGAUGCUGAACCCUGUGGGGCAUGUCGGGAUGGUACUCUCGUUAAAAAGACCAACGGCAUUAACUGCCAACGACGACGUAGAACUCGCUUACGCUGCGU